CAGCAGCCACGGGAAUACGAAGGGUGCAAGCGUUAAUCGGAAUUACUGGGCGUAAAGCGUGCGUAGGCGGUUUGUUAAGUCUGUUGUGAAAUCCCCGGGCUCAACCUGGGAAUGGCAAUGGAUACUGGCAAGCUAGAGUGUGUCAGAGGAUGGUGGAAUUCCCGGUGUAGCGGUGAAAUGCGUAGAGAUCGGGAGGAACAUCAGUGGCGAAGGCGGCCAUCUGGGACAACACUGACGCUGAGGCACGAAAGCGUGGGGAGCAAACAGGAUUAGAUACCCGGGUAGUCCCUGUCUCUUAUAA
This 301-nucleotide ribosomal RNA is filed under the name uncultured bacterium. RNAcentral's name for it is "partial 16S ribosomal RNA". It matches the Rfam family "Bacterial small subunit ribosomal RNA", at positions 509 to 809 of the family's 1533-position model. The record is from RNAcentral.